This 253-nucleotide ribosomal RNA is filed under the name uncultured bacterium. Its description in RNAcentral is "partial 16S ribosomal RNA". It matches the Rfam family "Bacterial small subunit ribosomal RNA", at positions 524 to 776 of the family's 1533-position model. The record is from RNAcentral.
UACGAAGGGGGCUAGCGUUGUUCGGAAUCACUGGGCGUGAAGCGCACGUAGGCUGAUUGGUCAGUUGGGGGUGAAAUCCCGGGGCUCAACCUCGGAACUGCCUUCAAUACUGCCAGUCUUGAGUCCGUGAGAGGUGAGUGGAAUUCCUAGUGUAGAGGUGAAAUUCGUAGAUAUUAGGAAGAGCAUCAGUGGCGAAGGCGGCUCACUGGCUCGGUACUGACGCUCAUGUGCGAAACCGUGGGGAGCAAACAGG